AUUGAACGCUGGCGGCAGGCCUAACACAUGCCAGUCGAGCGGAUGAAGGGAGCUUGCUCCUGGCUUCAGCGGCGGACGGGUGAGUAAUGCCUAGGAAUCUGCCUGGUAGUGGGGGCUAACGUCCGGAAACGGGCGCUAAUACCGCAUCCGUCCUGAGGGAGAACGUGGGGGAUCUUCGGACCUCACGCUAUCAGAUGAGCCUAGGUCGGAUUAGCUAGUUGGUGGGGUAAAGGCCUACCAAGGCGACGAUCCGUAACUGGUCUGAGAGGAUGAUCAGUCACACUGGAACUGAGACACGGUCCAGACUCCUACGGGAGGCAGCAGUGGGGAAUAUUGGACAAUGGGCGAAAGCCUGAUGCAGCCAUGCCGCGUGUGUGAAGAAGGUCUUCGGAUUGUAAAGCACUUUAAGUUGGGAGGAAGGGCAGUAAGUGAAUACCUGGCUGUUUUGACGGUACCAACAGAAUAAGCACCGGCUAACUUCGUG
This 484-nucleotide ribosomal RNA is filed under the name uncultured bacterium. Its description in RNAcentral is "partial 16S ribosomal RNA". It matches the Rfam family "Bacterial small subunit ribosomal RNA", at positions 30 to 507 of the family's 1533-position model. The record is from RNAcentral.